RNAcentral lists this ribosomal RNA (253 nucleotides) under uncultured bacterium. RNAcentral describes it as "partial 16S ribosomal RNA". It matches the Rfam family "Bacterial small subunit ribosomal RNA", at positions 524 to 776 of the family's 1533-position model. The record is from RNAcentral.
UACGAGGGGUGCAAGCGUUGCUCGGAAUUAUUGGGCGUAAAGGGCAGGUAGGUGGUCUCAUUUGUCAGGGGUGAAAGCCUUGGGCUUAACCCAAGAAGUGCCCUUGAAACGGUGAGACUGGAGUCUUGGAGAGGGUCGUGGAAUUCCCAGUGUAGCGGUGAAAUGCGUAGAGAUUGGGAGGAACACCAGCGGCGAAGGCGGCGACCUGGACAAGCACUGACACUCAACUGCGAAAGCGUGGGUAGCAAACAGG